RNAcentral lists this long non-coding RNA (1266 nucleotides) under Cucumis sativus (cucumber). RNAcentral describes it as "long non-coding RNA (CSAT_LNC000660)". The record is from RNAcentral. Lineage: Eukaryota; Viridiplantae; Streptophyta; Magnoliopsida; Cucurbitales; Cucurbitaceae.
GGUCGGGUUUUGCUUAGGCAAGAAAAGCGGAGAGGAUCCCCACGAAAAUUCUGAAACCGGGGGAUCUCGGCGCGCAUUUUACUUCACCUAAGCGGCUGGCUUGGCUCCCUCUUUUUUUUCUCUCUCCCUCUCUACCGGCUGCCAUGCUGGGUGAAAAACUCUAAGGACCUACUAGGCGGGUCGGGUUUUGCUUAGGCAAGAAAAGCGGAGAGGAUCCCCACGAAAAUUCUGAAACCGGGGGAUCUCGACACGCAUUUUACUUGACCUAAGCGGCUGGCUUGGCUCCCUCUUUUUUUUCUCUCUCCCUCUCUACAGGCUGCCAUGUUGGGUGAGAAACUCUAAGGACCUACUAGGCGGGUCGGGUUUUGCUUAGGCAAGAAAAGCGGAGAGGAUCCCCACGAAAAUUCUGAAACCGGGGGAUCUCGGCGCGCAUUUUACUUGACCUAAAGCGGCUGGCUUGGCUCCCUCUUUUUUUUCUCUCUCCAUCUCUACCGGCUGCCAUGCUGGGUGAAAAACUCUAAGGACCUACUAGGCGGGUCGGGUUUUGCUUAGGCAAGAAAAGCGGAGAGGAUCCCCACGAAAAUUCUGAAAACCGGGGAUCUCGGCGCGCAUUUUACUUGACCUAAGCGGCUGGCUUGGCUCCCUCUUUUUUUUCUCUCUCCCUCUCUCUACCGGCUGCCAUGCUGGGUGAAAAACUCUAAGGACCUACUAGGCGGGUCGGGUUUUGCUUAGGCAAGAAAAGCGGAGAGGAUCCCCACGAAAAUUCUGAAACCGGGGGAUCUCGGCGCGCAUUUUACUUGACCUAAGCGGCUGGCUUGGUUCCCUCUUUUUUUUUUCUCUCCCUCUCUACCGGCUGCCAUGAUGGGUGAAGAACUCUAAGAACCUACUAGGCGGGGUCGGGUUUUGCUUAGGCAAGAAAAGCGGAGAGGAUCCCCACGAAAAUUCUGAAACCGGGGGAUCUCGGCGCGCAUUUUACUUGACCUAAAGCGCGCUGGCUUGGCUCCCUCUUUUUUUUCUCUCUCCCUCUCUAACCGGCUGCCAUGCUGGGUGAAAAACUCUAAGGACCUACUAGGCGGGGUCGGGUUUUGCUUAGGCAAAGAAAAGCGGAGAGGAUCCCCACGAAAAUUCUGAAACCGGGGGAUCUCGGCGCGCAUUUUACUUGACCUAAGCGGCUGGCUUGGUUCCCUCUUUUUUUUCUCUCUCCCUCUCUACCGGCUGCCAUGCUGGGUGAAAAACUCUAAGGACCUACUAGGCGGGUCGGGUUUU